GACGAACGCUGGCGGCGUGCUUAACACAUGCAAGUCGAGCGGAAAGGCCCUUCGGGUACUCGAGCGGCGAACGGGUGAGUAACACGUGGGUAACCUGCCCUUCACUCUGGGAUAACUCCGGGAAACCGGGGCUAAUACCGGAUACGACCACUUUAGGCAUCUUCGGUGGUGGAAAGUUUUUCGGUGGAGGAUGGACCCGCGGCCUAUCAGCUUGUUGGUGGGGUAAUGGCCUACCAAGGCAGUGACGGGUAGCCGGCCUGAGAGGGCGACCGGCCACACUGGGACUGAGACACGGCCCAGACUCCUACGGGAGGCAGCAGUGGGGAAGUAUUGCGCAAUGGGCGGAAGCCUGACGCAGCGACGCCGCGUGAGGGAUGACGGCC
Molecule: ribosomal RNA, 383 nt
Filed under: uncultured bacterium
Lineage: Bacteria
Description: bacterial SSU rRNA
Rfam family: Bacterial small subunit ribosomal RNA
Source: RNAcentral